This 253-nucleotide ribosomal RNA is filed under the name uncultured bacterium. RNAcentral's name for it is "partial 16S ribosomal RNA". It matches the Rfam family "Bacterial small subunit ribosomal RNA", at positions 524 to 776 of the family's 1533-position model. The record is from RNAcentral.
UACGUAGGGUGCAAGCGUUAAUCGGAAUUACUGGGCGUAAAGAGCUCGUAGGCGGUCUGUCACGUCGGCUGUGAAAUCCCGAGGCUCAACCUCGGGUCUGCAGUCGAUACGGGCAAACUAGAGUAUUGCAGGGGAGACUGGAAUUCCUGGUGUAGCGGUGAAAUGCGCAGAUAUCAGGAGGAACACCGGUGGCGAAGGCGGGUCUCUGGGCAAUAACUGACGCUGAGGAGCGAAAGCGUGGGGAGCGAACAGG